Molecule: non-coding RNA, 1262 nt
Organism: Misgurnus anguillicaudatus (oriental weatherfish)
Lineage: Eukaryota; Metazoa; Chordata; Actinopteri; Cypriniformes; Cobitidae
Source: RefSeq, a predicted model, not a curated record
UGCGUCCGAAACCGCAUACUGUAUAGUAGGUACUGAAUUAGAUGAAGUACCUACUUACUUGGCAUUAAAACAGUAGGUACUGUAUAGUAUGAAUCCUGGUAGUAUGAAUGAGAUUCGGACGUACUACAUCCGCCAUGUUGCUACAUCACGUGACAUACGUCGUCAUCACGUCAUGUCAUUUCAGCGCGAAAACAGCAGCGUGCCUCUUCUUCUUCGUUGGAUAACUCAUCGUCCGGGGCAUCAUGGGAUAGUGAAGCGUCCAUCGUAUGCACACUGCAAAAUCUAACCGGAAGUAGUAGGUCAUCCGGGUACUUUUCGCAUACUGUUUUUCGAAUACUAUGUAUUCGGACAUACUACUCGCCUCGCCUACUGCUUUUCGCGUACUAUAUAGUAUGUAGUAGGCGGUUUCGGACGCAGCAUAGGAGUACGACCGGUUUAAGAUGGCCGCCGUAUUUCUCAGUCCCCAGCGGCCAAUAGGGCAUCUAGUCUUCUAUAUGAUAUCUAUGGUUCUGAUGGCUGUCUGCGAGAUCUUGCGUAUCACACGAGGAAGCUUCGGAGAAAGAAGAGAAACCUUCAAUUUAGAAAAGUGAUGGUGAUCUUGUCAAUGCUGAGAUUUUCAUGCAUCAACAGCCACUACAUCUGGAUCAGGAUUGAACAAGAAACAGACAGCAAGGGUUGUCAGGUCAGAAACAGAAUGACACACAAACACAAGAAACUUCACAGGCAGAUCACCAUGCAAUUUGAAGAAGUGUGAUAAAAUGCACAGUGUGAUAAAGUCGUGUGUCUUUCCAGAUGCCCAAAUCAUUCCCCCUUAAAAGAUGAGCCUGAAGAGGAGAUUUGGGAAGAUGAUGUUUCAUAAGUCUUUGUUUUGCCAGAUCACCAGUGGUAAGUUUGUAAAACUUAUAUUAAAAAUAGGAUUAGAACAUCUCCUAAUCAAGUUUUUGAUCAGGUAGGGAUGUCUGCUAACAAGAUGCCUUGCUGGUUUGGGCGAGUUUGAAGUCCCACACAGACAGUCCAGAGGUUCUGAAGUGCACGACCCUUUAAUGUGUAGAAACAUCUCAGCAACCAUCAAGAAAAAAUGGAGGCAACGGAGCUAAAUUGCAGAUGUUGUUGCAAAGGGUCUGAAUAUGUAUAAUAUGCUGUCAUCAUAUUUUAAGUACAUCAUGAGCCAGAAUGGAUGGAUGGUGGUGGCCAUAAGAAGACAACUACACCAACAACAAAAUUCAUAUUUGCAGAUUCAGAUGAAUAAAAUGACUUUUAAA